This 2935-nucleotide long non-coding RNA is filed under the name Mus musculus (house mouse). RNAcentral describes it as "long non-coding RNA chr5:66214746-66217681". Lineage: Eukaryota; Metazoa; Chordata; Mammalia; Rodentia; Muridae. The record is from RNAcentral.
AGACUGGUUUUGACCUCAGCCAUUGUUUCGAUCCAGUGGAGGAGAGCCAUACAACUGGCACAGUGAGCUCCUGGUCCUUAGACGCCCAUUUUAGGUUUAAGGUCAAAGAAAGGGAAGACAUCCAAGGACUAGGAGAAGCCCCAGCUAUCCGCGGAUCUGGAGGAAAGGGGAGGGGAGAUGCCUGUCUUUAACCUUGGAGUCCUGCAAAUUUACAUGGAUUAAAACCUAUCAACUCCAUUACCCCUGUACAGAUUAGCCUCUUAGGGCCCUUAAACACUCAGUGCAGGUCUUCAUAUUAUGCAGACCUGUCUCCGGUGGGCAGAACAAAAGGACGGACGUUUAAAUAUCAGCAUUUAAAUCUAAGCGAGAACUCUGAAGAGGCGGGGAGGUCCUGGGUAGUUCCCAGCCUCUUAUUUACCUCUUAAAUAUUCCUUUCUUACCACAUUUAUUUUUAAGCUUAUUAACAUCAACUGACAACGAUAAUCAUAGCAAAUGCUUAUAUAGUUCAUACUUUGUACACCGGUUUUGUAAGGGGGCGGGGUUGUUUUGUUUAGUGAUGAGGUCAGGGCAGGAACUCCAGGCAGGAAAUGAUGCAGAGGCCUCGGAGGAGGGGGCUGUUCAUUGGCUUGUUCUUGUUUUGUUUUUGAGGGAAGGUCUUAGUAGGUCCCCCAUUGCUGGCCUGACAUUCACUAUUUUGCCUAGGCUUGCCUCGGACUUGGGGCGAUCCUUCUGCCUGGCUACCCAGAGUCCUGGAAUUACAGAUUUGUACUGCCUUGCCUUGCUCAAGCAUUGUUUGCAGGUCUUGUUGUUGUUUGUUUUGUCUUUAAUCCAUACCCACUCUUUGAGUCUUCACAGCGGCAUGACGACAUAAAUACUAUUACCAGAUUCAUUUCAUAGACAAGUAUUACAUCUCAAAGAAACCUGGGACAAGUCACACUCAGUAUCAGCGGCUCCUCCCAUCAUUUCACGCCCCGCCCUAAACCCCUCCCCCAGAGGCGGGGCUUCUCUUCCCCAAACCCAAACCCUACAAAACAGCCUGUAUCUUGGCUCUGCUGCUUCUCCUGAUCUGUGUGGCACCUCUCUUGCUCUCCCUCCCCCACUUUCCUGCUCAUGUACACCCUGGACUCUUCCCUCUGCCUGCUUUCUCCUUUAUAGCUACAUUAAAAGUCUUCUCCAUACUUUAGAAGUAGUCAGGUCAUUUCUUUUCUUCCUUCUUUUAAAUGUUUAUUCAUCAACGAAGCAGAAACACAGAAAGGACAAGUAACUUGAUUCAGGUCUUGUGACAAAUGGCAACGCUAAGGUUCGAAGUCCCAGAGUCCACCCUCAUGUCAUGACCCUGCUAGUCUUAGAUAAAUAGCCCCAUUAGAGGCGCUUCAAGGUAAAGAGACAGGAUAACAAACUGAUACAGAGACUGUGUGUGGAGAUUGUCAUAUAAUGGCUUUAAAGGAACCACUGGCUUCUAAAGUCUUAUCUCAUUUGCUCUGGGGUAGAAUAUGUGACAGCACAAUGGCUUCAUUUAACCAAGAAGAUGCAGAUGCAGGGUAAUUAAUUUUAUGGGACUUAAAGCCAAGCCUUAAGGAGUUUAGAGCAUCCCAUUUUCUUAGAUCCUAAUUGCCUUGUAAAGAACCUAAAGCCCAAGUGAGAAGGUAGCUCAGAAGGAGGGACCUUGCCUGCCAUGGACCAAGGUGGAUGGCUCCCAGCAUUGCAUAGAAAAAAGAAGGCACACACACACAAAGUCUAGAUCAUCUAGCCACAGACAGGACACAUGUAAAGAGAGUCCAAGUCUGAGAAGCCAGAGAGUGAACAGGGGUCUUCUGCUAAAAGUGCCCACCAACAGGGAUACUCCUUGUUAAACUGUCCCAGGAGAUAACAUGUAGAGCAGAGAUGAGCUGAGCCUGCUAAGCUCUGCCCCCAAUUUGAUUCCAAAAUGUUGCAUUUAAUUUACAAUUUUAACCAUUGCUAACCAUGCACCCUACCACUGAGCACGUCCCAGGCCAGCUUUAGUCACCUUUAAGAGUACAACUGAGUGGUAAUAAGUGCAUUCAUAUUACUGUGUAACCAACACCAGCAUCCAUCUCAAAGGUCUCCAUCAUCCCGUUCUAAAACAACAGCACCCCAUUCCCCGUCACCUCAGCCUGCCUGCCAUUGCCCUAUUUAUGACCCUGUGAACUUGCCAGUCAUUUUGAAGGUGGUUUGCUAGGCAACAACACAUAACUUUAUUACUAAUACAUUUAACAAUCACACUUUCAGAAUACAUUAAUGUGCUUGCCAGUUUGACGAGUGUCAGUGUCACAGAAGAAUCUGGAGCUAGGCCAGAGCUUCAGUUCACUUUGUCAUUUGCAUAUUAAAUUCUAGGCUACAGUGUUAAUGAGUACACUUAUGCCUAACAUUUACUUUAAAAUUGAGAGGGCAGCUUCUCACUUAAAAGUCAUUUUUAUCUUUCACAGUUGCUUUGCAUUUCAAUAUCAUUAUUAAGUUAUUUUAAACCACAGUGAAUCUGGGACUAAGGAUCUGAGUGUAAGCAACUUGCCCAAGGUCACAGAAGAGAAUGAGUUUGCAACUACUUAUUGGCCACUCCUAUUUGUAAAGGAAAGAGGGGGCUCAAGGGACAAUUUACCACCUUGGAAGAGACAAUAAUACAAGCAUGGUCUUCAAAUAUCUUCUGCUUUUGUGGGAAACAUCUGGUUAGGUCCUGAAGAAUGUCCCUGAGUGACAUCAAGGCGGCUCCUGGUAAAGUGUUUGGUAAGGUGUUACAAUGCAGAAACAUUGUAACAAUAAGUGCAGCUGUUGUUGAGGCAGAAGAGGGUGAGGUAGCAGGCCAGGUAGAGCCCUGUAGGCAAAGCCACUGAAUCGUGCCCUACGAGUAAAGAGAAUAGUAAGGUCUUUUCAAUGUGUCACUAAACUUUUUUAAUGAACCAUCAGAAUUCAUUGCGAC